AAGUCGUAACAAGGUUUCCGUAGGUGAACCUGCGGAAGGAUCAUUAAAAAAAGAGAAACGUCCCGUUUUUUUUCAUAAGAAUGGGUUCUAUUCCCUUAAACCGUGUCUACAUACCUUUGUUGCUUUGGCAGGCCGCCUUCGGGCGUCGGCUCCGGCUGAUAGUGCCUGCCAGAGGACCCAAACUCUAUGUUUAGUGAUGUCUGAGUACUAUAUAAUAUUUAAAACUUUCAACAACGGAUCUCUUGGUUCUGGCAUCGAUGAAGAACGCAGCGAAAUGCGAUAAGUAAUGUGAAUUGCAGAAUUCAGUGAAUCAUCGAAUCUUUGAACGCACAUUGCGCCCCUUGGUAUUCCGAGGGGCAUGCCUGUUCGAGCGUCAUUAUAACCACUCAAGCCUGGCUUGGUAUUGGGGUUUUCGCGUGUUCGCGGCCCUUAAAAUCAGUGGCGGUGCCGUCUGGCUCUAAGCGUAGUAAUUUCUCUCGCUAUAGGGUUCCGGUGGUUACUUGCCAAAACCCCCCAUUUUUUCUAGGUUGACCUCGGAUCAGGUAGGGAUACCCGCUGAACUUAA
RNAcentral lists this ribosomal RNA (565 nucleotides) under uncultured fungus. RNAcentral describes it as "eukaryotic LSU rRNA". The stretch from base 223 to 376 matches the Rfam family "5.8S ribosomal RNA". Lineage: Eukaryota; Fungi. The record is from RNAcentral.